CAUACCCAUUAUACCUUCCUUUAUUCUGCCGUAGGAAAAUCAAAACAAACGCAAAUCGUUUAUUCCUCUUCUCCCUUUCCCCCUUUCGCAAUUCAAGUCCAAACCUAAUCAGAAGUUUUCGAUCAGCGUUGAUUCGGAGUUAUGUCGGUUGCACAGCCUCAUCAGCCACAAGGUGGUCAUUUUCGCACAAAUGGUAGACAAACUUAUGGUAGAAACAGCAGAGCAGGCAUGAGAGCCCCAGCUGCUGCCGCUACUAAUUACAACUGUUACUACAAUAGUCAUCCAAACUUUUAUCCCAUGAAUCCUGGUCUACUCGGUGAUUUUUCUCAAGGCGUAAUGCUGGAUUGUCCCAAUUAUGAUGUGGUCUGUCUUGAUGCUUUGCCUUCAAAGAGGAGAAAGGUCUCACAUCCGUCUUGUGCAAAUGCUGGGAGAAACCAUUCACAACAAACAAUGCAACAAAAUGCUCUUACAAAUAAUGCUGAAUGGUGGGAACACGUACCUCAGUUUGUUAGAACCUUCUGCAAUGCCCCUUUAGUCAGUGAGAACCAUUCAGACAUUGUUGCUGCUCCAAGGUCUGAUAACGCCAAUGCACAUGCUUCAACGACCUCCAAAAGGAAUAGGUCUGAUUUUGAGGAUGAUGCCGCAGCUGUUUUCAUGUCCAGAGAUGAGAUAGAGAGGUGUUCUCCUUCCAGGAAAGAUGGCAUAGACGUGUUACAAGAGACACAUCUACGAUAUUCAUAUUGUGCAUUCCUUCAAAAUCUUGGAUUUCAGCUUGAUUUGCCACAAACCACUAUUGGAACUGCCAUGGUUCUGUGUCAUCGUUUCUUUCUUCGCCGUUCCCAUGCAUAUCAUGAUAGAUUUCUAAUAGCUGUUGCUGCACUUUUCCUUGCCUCGAAGUCUGAGGAGACAGCACGUCCUCUCAAUGAUGUAUUAAGAGUAUCAUGUGAAAGUUUGCACAGGCAGGAGCUAGCGCUUCUCUACAUGCCAAUUGAUUAUUUUGAACAAUACCGUGAGCGAAUACUGGAGGCUGAACAGUUGAUUCUAACUACGUUAAACUUUGAGCUAGAGGUGCAGCAUCCAUACGAAUCUCUGACAUCCACUCUUCAUAAGUUAGGCUUUUCGCAACCUGUUUUGGUGAAUCUAGCCUUGUGCUUGGUCAGCGAAGGGGUCUAUAGGCGAUUAGCAUGCUCACCAUAUGAUAUUAAUAGCUGGUGGUUGAUUUGCUGUUCAUCAAAUGUUUUGUUUUCAUCUGAAGUGAACUAGAGAUACCUUGUCGAUGCUUUUCCAUGCUGGCAUGUUAAUGACAUUGUCACUGGCUUUAGAAGAUAGUUCAUGGAUGAAUUGAACUAAGUUAACAAUUGGAUCUUUCUGCAUUUGGAUAUCUCUGUGGUUCAUGGCUGUGGAAUAUGCCAAGGUUUUAGCUGAGCUAUUUCAGGCUGUGGAUUAACUGUCUUCUUGUUGACGAUGACAGUCUAGCUGUGCACCAUAAGAGAACUGGUUUUCUUUCCCUCUCUCUAAAAGCAUUUGCUCCUAACAAUGAAUUGACUUUAACCUCUCCACCUUAAGAACUUCCUGGAACUUGGACACCCUUGUUUAUCUUUUCUCUCUGUGACUAAUUCGAGCUUCACAAUUCCAUUUUCAUAUGGCUUCCGAUUCUUGAUAUUUAACCUUUCUUCUGGGAAGUUUGGGCAAUCCAUUGUUUAUCCUUUAUCUAACUGUCUAUCCACACGAGAUGGAAACAGGAUCUGACAGCCGCUUGAUAAGAUUUGGGGUUCCCUUGACAUUAUGUUGGAAUUUGAAAAAGUGAGGAAGGGGGGAAUAAUUUAAUUACUAUCAGUGCAUUGCACGAGGAGCAUCUUGUCAUCUUCCUUCGGCAAUUUACUAAGUUUUAGUCAUUAGUUCUUCUCAGCAUGUUUUUGUUCUUCAAAGAUCAUACACAUUACGGAAGCAAGCUUUAUAAGUCUUGGAUGGGUGUAGAUAUAUGACCCUCCUCCCUCCAUGGGACAAAUAUAUAAUAUAAGAAAGGAAUAAUCACAUGGUGAAAUGAUAAAAUUGCUUUCAAAGUACAUGUAGGGGCAAGGACUACCUGAAUUUCUUUUGGUUUUUUAAUUUGAGUUCUUAUAUGCUUAUCUAUAGGUCUUAUAUAUGGUAAAUAUUUAUUUUAUCUAAUCUUGUAGAUGUGGCUAGAGAGUAAGUGAAAGAAAUGCUAAAAUGUUGUUGUCUUGGAUGCUGUUACAUUAUUCCUAUCCAUCAUCUUUGAUUUGUACACUGCAGUGUGCUUUUAGUGUUUUAGGUAGAGAUCUUACUUGGGAUUGGGAUGUAAAAGUUAGUUGCCUCCAGGUUUUCAAUAUAUGCUAAUGCUUAAGUUGAUAGGUACCUAUAUAUGUAAGUGAGUUAUGGAAGGUAGUGUUUGGAGAAUAUUUAACUUGAAACUUUGCAACAUUAACAAGUCACUGUUCUUUACACUCCUUGAUGACUAUUCUUACAUGUUUAGAAUCUGUUCACAAAUCAUGUUUAAAUUGUUAAUUUUUUUUCUUUUUUUUUGAGAGUCCAUUAAUACAACUUUUAUAAUGAUUUGUCGAUACCUUCCUGUGAUUGUUGUAUUUACAGUAUAAUAAUUGAACUUUCUCCCUAUUUCACAAAGAACUUUCUUGAAAAAAGUUCAAUCAUCAAUGGUUUUUUAUAGUCAAAAUAUCAACUUUGGUUGCUCGGCUAGUUUACAAAAGCAUGGUUAUUGGAUGUAUAUUUCAAGAUUUCAGUUCAGCCUUUUCUUUUCUUUCCUUUCUCUUUAUCUGUGUAAAGAAUAGUAAAUUCUACUAAGAAACUAUUACGGGGAAGCAGCCACUGCUGCUGGACUAGCCAUUGCUGCAUGUCUAGAUCUGGCUGGCAAAGAAGGCUGCCCCUUACACAGGCCUGAUCGUGGCCCAAAUGUUGUGGUUGUCUUAAUAAUUAUGUUGCGAAAAAUGUAAUUUUGGCUCUGUAAGUGUCAUUCAUUAUUAUUUUGGUUUGUAAGUGAUACCCCUUAUUAUUUAGUCAUUAAUUGCCAAUGUUAUUAGAUCAUCACAAAGUACAAACUAAGAAGUUUCUUCUAAAAUUGAUUUGUUAUUUCUUUUCUUCGGAAGAUGUAAAACCAUUAAAUUUAUGAUUACAUGAUUUUUUCAUUGUUGAAAGCUGCAUGUAUAUAUUGUGUAAAUGGCAAAAAUAAAUGAACAAUUAUAUUUUAAGUUCACAGAUACAUGCAAUUUACAAGCAGUUUGAUAUUCAACUUUUGAUGAGAUUUGGCAUUUGGCUAUGUAGCAGCUGUUACCGACUCACUUUUGUACAUGCAUUAUGAUAUCCAAGUUUUAAGGUGGUUGGAAUCAGUCAAUGAAGUUUAGCUGGCAUGCUGUCUAUUCUGCUAUUCUACAGCCCGUUUAAAUCAGUAUGGUUUUGCUAUAGUAUGGCAGCAGAGGGGGGCAGGGGACAUGAAGUUGAUAUAAUGUGUAGUCAGAUGUAACAUGUUUUGUAUAUUAGGGUAUUCUACCAACACACUGCAGGCAAAUCUUGGGUUAUUCCAUCUCGGUUGCUGCUUGCCUAGUUGCAUAAGACUAUGUUGGUUCAAUCGUUGGUGUUUUUUGAAAUGGCUUAGGAGUUCUCUAUGGCUUCAGUUCAAACCUCAUCAGAUAGCUGCCGGUGCUGCCUACCUUGCUACGAAAUUUUUAAAUAUGAAUCUUUCUUCGUGCCAUGAUAUCUGGCAUGAAUUCAGAACGUCCCCUUCUGUG
This is an RNA transcript of Andrographis paniculata, 3761 nucleotides long. It is a transcript of the gene named cyclin-T1-4-like, with no coding region annotated. The record is from RefSeq and is a predicted model, not a curated record. Lineage: Eukaryota; Viridiplantae; Streptophyta; Magnoliopsida; Lamiales; Acanthaceae. The transcript is spliced from 8 exons.